RNAcentral lists this ribosomal RNA (467 nucleotides) under uncultured bacterium. RNAcentral's name for it is "SSU rRNA". It matches the Rfam family "Bacterial small subunit ribosomal RNA", at positions 26 to 517 of the family's 1533-position model. The record is from RNAcentral.
AGAAUGAACGUUGGCGGCGUGGAUUAGGCAUGCAAGUCGUACGGGCCGCAAGGCCAGUGGCGCAAGGGUGAGUAAGGCGACGGUAACCAACCCCAUGAUUGGGUAUAGCCGCGGGAAACUGCGGGUAAUCCCCAGCGACGUCCCAGGGGGGCAUCCCCUGGGGACCAAAGUUCCGGCGUCGUGGGACGGGCCGUCGUGGUAUUAGGUUGUUGGCGGGGUAACGGCCCACCAAGCCUGCGAUGCCUACCGGGCGUGCGAGCGCGACCCGGCACACUGGGACUGAGACACUGCCCAGACUCCUACGGGAGCUGCAGUCGAGAAUCUUCGGCAAUGGGCGCAAGCCUGACCGAGCGACGCCGCGUGGAGGAUGAAGGCCUUCGGGUUGUAAACUCCUGUCGAGGGAAGAGGCCGGUAACGGCUUGACUGAUCCCUGGAGGAAGCACGGGCUAAGUUCGUGCCAGCAGCCG